GCUGCCUUGCUCCUUUCACCACAUGAAGACCAUGAGGACAGCAUCAUUUCUGAACCAAAGUGGGGCCCUCACCAAACACCAGACCAUUGGCACCAUAGUCUGGGACUUCUCAAGAAGGAUCUGCCUGCCUCUUCCUGAGUGUUGUGACUGAAGGAGCUCACCGCCACGUCCCUGCCUGUUUCUUUUUCAGUGUGAUUGAUUACAUUUCUUCUCCUAUUUGCUAU
Mastomys coucha (southern multimammate mouse) is the source of this 224-nucleotide long non-coding RNA. RefSeq lists it as uncharacterized. The record is from RefSeq and is a predicted model, not a curated record. Lineage: Eukaryota; Metazoa; Chordata; Mammalia; Rodentia; Muridae. The transcript is spliced from 2 exons.